CCGGGGAGAGGCCAGCCCGGCCUACAGUGCAGACACAGGACAGAGGGGAGCCAGGUUCUUUGCACUGACCAAUGCUGAGAGCAGACCCUCGGAGGAGCCAGGUCGGAAGUGUCUCUCCACAGUCACCAGAAAGAUCCGGGAUAGGAUGGGCAGCCCAGUGCACCGAGUGUCAUUGGGGGAUACCUGGAGCAGGCAAAUGCACCCCGACAUAGAGAGCGAGAGGUAUAUGCAGUCCUUUGACGUGGAACGGCUCACCAACAUCCUGGAUGGAGGUGCCCAGAACACUGCACUCCGCAGGAAAGUUGAUCCAUGAAGCAAGUGGGUGAGAAGAUUUGAAGAGCCCUUUCUGGAGACGUGGCCUUAAAUAUACACAGAGUCUUCCUGAGAGCCCUCAGGAGCCUGGGCUCAGAGGAGCAGAUUGCCAAA
Molecule: small RNA, 426 nt
Filed under: Pongo abelii (Sumatran orangutan)
Lineage: Eukaryota; Metazoa; Chordata; Mammalia; Primates; Hominidae
Description: processed transcript
Source: RNAcentral